CUGAUAUAUGAAGAGCUUAAGUGCGUUCAGGAUGCAGGAAAGAUUAAUAAGAGAAGGUAAGGAAAGUGCAUUGUGGGUAUUUCCCACCUUCUUAAUUAAGAAAAUAAUGCAGACUUUCCUUACUGCCUUGCUAUAUGGAGAAUAUAAUUAUAUAGAAUUAUGUAUGUGUGUAUAGUGAAUACUGUUUAUAUAGUAAAUAUGUAUAAAGUUAAUCUACAGUGUAUAGAUAUAUAUUUAUAAAAUAUAAAGUGUAUAAAUACCUAAAGUCAAUAGUGUUAAAAGUGUAUAUAUGUGUUUAAGAAAUAUUUAUAUAGUGUAGAGUAUAUAGUGCAUUUAUGUAUUUUGAUUGUAUAUAAAGUUUAAACUCUGCCAAAUUCAGAGUAGGGUUUGAGGGGUGAAUAACUUUUUUUAUGAAUGAACCAAUUUCAAUGAUAUUACAAACAAUGAAUGCUCUGCGUAUGAAGAUUUGCCUGACUAUGUACGGAAGAUGACAUCUUUUAAAUCAGUUCCAUUUACCGCCUCGCAAAGUCGGACGCUUUCGAUUGCAUUGUUCAUAACAGAAGCUAAUGUUUGAGGCUCGAAUUAAUGCACAAAUAUUCUCCUUGAUCUGCUCAAGUGUACGUGGUUUGUUUAUAUACAUCAAAAACUUCAGAUAUCCACCCAGGAAGUACUUAGGAGCUCAAAAGAUGGACAAACGUGGCAGCUUACAUUGAAGUGCCGGUGGUAAGCUCUUUGCGUUAAAAUAAUGGACCUGCCAUUUUGAGAUUUCAAUUCCACUACUUUUACUCGUUGUAACUCCAUGAAAUUACCCACGAUGAAUUUACAAAGACUCAGUUAUAAUAUGUACCUGCAACUGAAAAAUUCAACUACUAACAAGUUAUUUACCUGUCAAAUCCAACUCUUAAUAUUGGCCCACCCUUUACAUUAUACAUAACGUAACUAUUAAAUGUAGUAUAUAUAUAUUGUAUAUUCAGUGUAUACCUCUAUACAUUGCAGAUUGUAUAUAGAAUAUACCGGAUAUAUGGUGUAUAUAUGUAUAUAGUGCAUGUAGAGUGUAUAAUGCAUUGCAGCAUAACAAGUAUAUAUAGCGUAUGUAACUAUUGAAUGUAGUAUAUAUAUAUUGUAUAUUUGGUGUAUACCUCUAUACAUUGCAGAUUGUAUAUAGAAUACACAAGAUAUAUGGUGUAUAUAUGUAUGUAGUGCAUGUAGAGUGUUUAAGACAUUUAAGCAUAACAAGUACAUAUAGAGUAUAUAACUAUUGAAUGGAGUAUAUAUAUAUAUAUAGUAUAUUCGGUGUAUACCUGUGUACAUUGCAGAUUGUAUAUAGAAUACACAGGAUAUAUGGUGUAUAUAUGUAUAGAUGUAUAUAGUGUAUGUAGAGUGUAUAGUGCAUUUAAGUAUUACAAGUAUAUAUAGCGUAUGUAACUAUUGAAUGUAGUAUAUAUAUAUUGUAUAUUCGGUGUAUACCUGUGUACAUUGCAGAUUGUAUAUAGAAUACACAGGAUAUAUGGUGUAUAUAUUUGUAAAGUGCAUAUAGAGUCUAUUGUGCAUUUAAGCAUAAGAAGUAUUUAUAGAGUAUAUAACUAUUGAAUGUAGUAUAUAUAUUGUAUAUUCGGUGUAUACCUGUGUACAUUGCAGAUUAUAUAUAGAAUACACAGGAUAUAUGGUGUAUAUAUGUAUAUAGUGUAUGUAGAGUGUAUAGUGCAUUUAAGCAUAACAAGUAUAUAUAGCGUAUGUAACUUAAAUGUAGUAUAUAUAUUGUAUAUUCGGUGUAUACCUGUGUAUAUUGCAGAUUGUAUAUAGAAUACACAGGAUAUAUGGUGUAUAUAUGUAUAUAGUGUAUGUAGCGUGUAUAGUGCAUUUUAGCAUAAAAAGUAUAUAUAGCGUAUGUAACUAUUGAAUGUAGUAUAUAUAUAUUGUAUAUUCGGUGUAUACCUGUGUACAUUGCAGAUUGUAUAUAGAAUACACAGGAUAUAUGGUGUAUAUAUGUGUAAAGUGCAUGUAGAGUGUAUAGUGCAUUUAAGAAUAACAAGUAUAUAUAGAGUAUAUAACUAUUGACUGUAGUAUAUAUAUUGUAUAUUCGGUGUAUACCUGUGUACAUUGCAGAUUGUAUAUAGAAUACACAGGAUAUAUGUUGUAUAUAUGUAUGUAGUGCAUGUAGAGUGUAUAGGACAUUUAAGCAUAAGAAGUAUAUACAGAGUAUAUAACUAUUGAAUGUAAUAUAUAUAUAUAUAUAUAUAUUGUAUAUUCGGUGUAUACCUCUAUAUAUUGCAGAUUGUAAAUAGAAUACACAGGAUGUAUGGUGUGUAUAUGUAUGUAGUGCAUGUAGAGCGUAUAGUGCAUUUAAGAAUAACAAGUGUAUAUAUAGAGUAUAUAACUAUUGAAUGUAGUAUAUAUAUUGUAUAUUCGGUGUAUACCUGUGUACAUUGCAGAUUGUAUAUAGAAUACACAGGAUAUAUGGUGUAUAUAUGUGUAAAGUGCAUGUAGAGUGUAUAAUGCAUUUCAGCAUAACUAGUACAUAUAGAGUGUAUAACUAUGAAAUGUAGUAUAUAUAUUGUAUAUUCGGUGUAUACCUGUGUACAUAGCAGAUUGUAUAUAGAAUACACAGGAUAUAUGGUGUAUAUAUGUAUAUAGUGCAUUUAAGCAUAAUAGGUAUGCAUAGAGUAUUUAAUCUACAUAUACAUAUAGAGUACAUACAAUGUAUAGAGCUUGUGUAGAGUUUUGAUAUCGAGUAUAUGACUAGAGUAAAUCAUUAGCAUAUAAGAUUUAUAUGUUAUAUAUGUAUACAGUGUGUAUGUGUAAACAGUAUUUAUAAUAUAGUUUUGCAUAGUUACAUAAUACGUAUAAUGUGCACAGUUACGGUAAGCAUAUAAUGCAUAUAGAUAGAUAGACAUAUUUUCCAUGAUACCAAAGAGCAAUUUGUUUUUUUUUUAAUUCUUUUCAAUUAGGGAUACAUUUUGGUGAAUGGAAUGGAGAUUUCAUAUCCAAACAACUGGACAACUGAAGAGAAAAAGGAGAAAAAAUAAAAGCCAGGAUGUGAGGAAAUAAAUGACAAAUGGAUCAGCAAUACCAGAAGGAGCCACCAGAACCACAGCCAAAGAAAAUCUCGCAAAAUAAAGGACUCCACUACAGCUUUAAAUGGACGGAAAUACAUCACUAAAUUUGUUGACGCACAAACAACAGUACGACUCUGGAAAGAACGUUCCAGGCACACGUAGGGCAACAAACC
This is a non-coding RNA of Pelobates cultripes (western spadefoot toad), 3229 nucleotides long. Lineage: Eukaryota; Metazoa; Chordata; Amphibia; Anura; Pelobatidae. The record is from the annotation of a GenBank genome assembly.